Cricetulus griseus (Chinese hamster) is the source of this 667-nucleotide non-coding RNA. The record is from RefSeq and is a predicted model, not a curated record. NCBI's taxonomy places the organism in Eukaryota, Metazoa, Chordata, Mammalia, Rodentia, Cricetidae.
CUCAUAUUUAAGAAAAGAGAAACAGAAAGUGUCCCUUUUCCCCUCUGCUCUUCCUCCAGCAGUGCAGUGUGGUCCACUGGCAAGAGAAGGUGACAGCAGAAGGCAUCCUCUAUAAGGGUGCUGCGAGGGAAGAACACUGUUAAGUGAGCCAUGUGAGUGAGGGAUUUAUCUCCUGCUUAUGAAACAGUCAGCUCCUUUCUCAGCUUCAAAGAGAACAAAACCCAAUGACAGCUCUGGAGAAGAUAUCACUGCCAAAGAAAAUGAAAGCAGCCUGGAAAUAUAAGCAUAAGACAGAGAAAAUACAACAGUCAGGGCAGAGAAUGUUAGCUCCAGGAAAAAAAUUGAAGAGAGGAAAAGGUCUGAAGAGCUCUUAUGUCAAGUCUAGAUUCUUUUCAGCUCUUUGUUAAAGCACCAAGAUAAACAGACCAGGGUGAACCUACUGGAAAAACAAACACAUGUGUAUACUUUAGACAUUGGAAAUAAGACAUCUGAUCAUCAAAACAAGCAUCAGCUGUGUGUGACUCUUUUGGCUCUCUGAAGAUCAAGAAGUCAAAUGGGUUUAAAGACUGGCUCUACUGUUAAGAGGACUUUGGGAGCCCAUUCACUAUGGAGGGAUACUAUUGCAGCCCAGAUACAGCAAGGAGGGCCUAGGCCCUCCCCCAAAUGA